AUUGAACGCUGGCGGCAGGCCUAACACAUGCAAGUCGAACGGUAACAGGAAGCAGCUUGCUGCUUCGCUGACGAGUGGCGGACGGGUGAGUAAUGUCUGGGAAACUGCCUGAUGGAGGGGGAUAACUACUGGAAACGGUAGCUAAUACCGCAUAACGUCGCAAGACCAAAGAGGGGGACCCUCGGGCCUCUUGCCAUCGGAUGUGCCCAGAUGGGAUUAGCUAGUAGGUGGGGUAACGGCUCACCUAGGCGACGAUCCCUAGCUGGUCUGAGAGGAUGACCAGCCACACUGGAACGGAGACACGGUCCAGACUCCUACGGGAGGCAGCAGUGGGGAAUAUUGCACAAUGGGCGCAAGCCUGAUGCAGCCAUGCCGCGUGUAUGAAGAAGGCCUUUGGGUUGUAAAGUACUUUCAGCGGGGAGGAAGGGAGUAAAGUUAAUACCUUUGCUCAUUGACGUUACCCGCAGAAGAAGCACCGGCUAACUCCGUGCCAGCAGCCGCAGUAA
Molecule: ribosomal RNA, 506 nt
Filed under: uncultured bacterium
Lineage: Bacteria
Description: partial 16S ribosomal RNA
Rfam family: Bacterial small subunit ribosomal RNA
Source: RNAcentral